Ornithorhynchus anatinus (platypus) is the source of this 86-nucleotide non-coding RNA. The record is from the annotation of a RefSeq genome assembly. Lineage: Eukaryota; Metazoa; Chordata; Mammalia; Monotremata; Ornithorhynchidae.
GUAGUCGUGGCCGAGUGGUUAAGGCGAUGGAUGGACUAGAAAUCCACCGGGGUCUCCCCGCGCAGGUUCGAAUCCUGCCGACUACG